This 77-nucleotide transfer RNA is filed under the name Oscillospiraceae bacterium. RNAcentral describes it as "tRNA-Arg". It matches the Rfam family "tRNA". Rfam says of the family: Transfer RNA (tRNA) molecules are approximately 80 nucleotides in length. The record is from RNAcentral. Lineage: Bacteria; Bacillati; Bacillota; Clostridia; Eubacteriales; Oscillospiraceae.
CUGCUUGUAGCGUAGCUGGAUAACGCAUGCGACUCCGACUCGCAAGAUCGUAGGUUCGAAUCCUAUCAAGCAGGCCA